CCUCCCAGGUGAAGCAACAAGAUCGUGAAGGAGUAACUUGUGAAGGUAUCCGUAUUUCGUCUUCUUCCCGAAUCCUCUAGCCAAUAUUUCUGAGAGAGAGCGGCGAUUGAGUGUCAAGGAAAGAAUGGACAUGGUUCGUGGAGGACGAGAGGAACUGGACGAAGUGCUGAGGGAUGGAGACUGGAUCUCUAGCGUCCUCGCAAGACCAAGAGCACAGCGGCAAGCGGGUGGCGAGCAUUGGGUCUGGAGAUCACAUGGGGACAGUCGUAGGUAAGCCGUCUAGUCUGACUUUACGACAAGGAACAAUGGCUUGUACCUGCACUGAGCCUCCCCGGUGAUCCUCUGGCCAACGUCUCCACAGCAACGCGACAGUCACCACCACAACCACCAUCACCACCACCAACAACCACCGCCACCACCAACAACUACCACCAUAAUUUAACAGCAAUUCUCCACGGCCACCUGAAUCCACCACAGCGGAAAUUUGUGCGUGAUGCGUCUUUGGCAGCCACGCACCGCAGGUCAGCCAAGCCAAACACCGUGACGGCAGUGGUAACAGGGGUGGCGAGCCUAUUAAUACCCGCAUAAUGAAUGGAGGAUAGUGGUAAAAUACUGCC
Molecule: long non-coding RNA, 617 nt
Organism: Portunus trituberculatus (swimming crab)
Lineage: Eukaryota; Metazoa; Arthropoda; Malacostraca; Decapoda; Portunidae
Exons: 3
Source: RefSeq, a predicted model, not a curated record